GAACACCGGACGUGCGACCGUGCUGGUCGCGUUCAGCAACAAGCUGCUUUCGUCCCCCGAGACCAGCGGGCUUCUCCCCAGCGGCCAGGAUGUAAGGUAGCCCUGAUAGAGGAAAGCCAACUGCUACAUCUUGAGAACAUGCAAGCAGCCUAUGGAAAGGUCCACUUGGCAAGGAACUGAGGCUUGCAAGCAAACAUGCAAAACUCCAAACCGCUAGGGCCAGAGGAUUUCCGAUUUGAGGCAGGAUUGCCGUUCCCCGGACCGACAUUUGGAUCUCAGUUGCCAGGACACUAAGCAUGUCCAAAGUUGGAGAGUGAGUUGGAGAUGCCAAGACUCCCCCUCUGGGCUUGCACUGCAUCUGGGGCCUUCGAGAGGUUCCGAGUACCACCAUGCCA
Neogale vison (American mink) is the source of this 395-nucleotide long non-coding RNA. RefSeq lists it as uncharacterized. The transcript has 3 exons. NCBI's taxonomy places the organism in Eukaryota, Metazoa, Chordata, Mammalia, Carnivora, Mustelidae. The record is from RefSeq and is a predicted model, not a curated record.